GACAGAGGUGCCGAGCGUUAGGCGGAAUCACUGGGCUUAAAGCGUGUGUAGGCGGACUUCUAAGUGCCUUGUGAAAUCCCACGGCUCAACCGUGGAACUGCUGGGCAUACUGGUUGUCUUGGGCCAUCUAGGGGCUACUGGAACAAACGGUGGAGCGGUGAAAUGCGUAGAUAUCGUUUGGAACGCCAAUGGUGAAAACAAGUAGCUGGGGAUGUGCCGACGCUGAGACACGAAAGCCAGGGGAGCGAACGGG
This 253-nucleotide ribosomal RNA is filed under the name uncultured bacterium. RNAcentral's name for it is "partial 16S ribosomal RNA". It matches the Rfam family "Bacterial small subunit ribosomal RNA", at positions 524 to 776 of the family's 1533-position model. The record is from RNAcentral.